This 3209-nucleotide small RNA is filed under the name Pongo abelii (Sumatran orangutan). RNAcentral's name for it is "retained intron". The record is from RNAcentral. Lineage: Eukaryota; Metazoa; Chordata; Mammalia; Primates; Hominidae.
ACAGAAUCUGACUUAGUUUUCAUCUUGAUAAACGAUGGUGGUGCAUACAGUGUGUGCUUGCUGGUCUGUGGUCAGAUGUGUAUCAGGGCCCCUCCCAGCUUUGAAGCUCAGAUCCCAGUCCUGGAUUCUCAAGUAUGGCCACACUGUAGCUUGAUGUAAACACUAGGUUUAGCUUACUGGGUGCCAGGGGCCUGCUGGGUUCAGGGAGGACCUAAAAGAAAUGUAGAGUGAGCUGCUGUGAGCACAUGGGGUGGGUGUGGCGAGUGCAUGUGGGCGGCGGCACUUGGGACCACAGCAUGGUUUGGGUGUCCCUGCCAUUCAUGGCAGGUGUGCUGUGGAAAGGAUGACAUCCUGACUGUUGUCAACAGACCCUCAGAGUGAUCAUUUCCAACCUCUUGAUCUGCCCUUUCAGACAUUACUACCUGUGUAGUAAAUUUUAUACUGAAAUUGUUCCCUUAAUUUUUAGGGUACGUUUGGUAGAACGCGGUUCUCCACACAGCCUGCCAUUGAUGGAGUCUGGAAAGAUCCUCCCCGGCGUGAAGGUCAUCAUCGCACACACUGAGACCAAAGGACCCUUGGGAGACUCACACCUGGGAGAGAUCUGGGUAAGCAGCCCCCACAAUGCCACCGGGUACUACACAGUUUACGGGGAGGAGGCACUUCAUGCUGACCACUUCAGUGCCCGGCUGAGUUUUGGAGACACACAGACCAUCUGGGCAAGGACCGGCUACCUUGGCUUCCUUCGGCGAACAGAGCUCACUGAUGCCACUGGAGGGCGGCACGAUGCACUAUAUGUGGUUGGGUCUCUGGAUGAAACUCUGGAGCUCAGAGGCAUGCGGUACCACCCCAUCGACAUUGAGACCUCUGUCAUCCGAGCACACAGGAGCAUCGCUGAGUGUGCCGUAUUCACCUGGACCAACCUGCUGGUGGUGGUGGUGGAGCUGGAUGGGCUAGAGCAGGAUGCCCUGGACCUGGUGGCCCUGGUGACCAACGUGGUGCUGGAGGAGCACUACCUGGUCGUGGGAGUGGUGGUCAUUGUGGACCCAGGGGUGAUCCCUAUCAACUCUCGGGGUGAGAAGCAGCGCAUGCACCUGCGGGACGGCUUCCUGGCUGACCAGCUGGACCCCAUCUAUGUGGCCUACAACAUGUGAGCAUAGCACACCAGCCCAGGUGCCGGAGAUGAACAAGCCCCAGCAGUCCAAGGUGUGAUGUGGGAAGACACUGCAGAGCCCACUCACCGGGACUCGCCCCUUCCUGUGCUCUUACAGAUCCCUCUCAACAAUUCCCCGCAUCUCCUUUUAGAAAGCACUUCCUGAAUUAUUUAAAGAUAUAUUUUGAAUCUGCCAAGUACAUUUACAAAAACACGGAUGCUGGUAUUUUAACAGAUGGAGAGACAAGGAAAGGAAAGGAAAGGCCUGGCGUGGGCAUUGUGAGGAAUCACAGGCACCGAGGGUUGUUCUCUGCUGUACUGCAAGUUUGCACUUUCUUUAGGCUAAAAAUAUAGUUCCUGAUUUUUAAAAUUCAGUUAUUUAUUCCCACUUCAAAUGACAAGUUCAUAUAUAGAAUUUACGGGAGAAACUUGAUUCUGGGAAGAUAGCAGAGUACAAACCAGCUGCCUCACUUCUGUUUCACAGGGAGGCUGAUGGAAAAAGGAAGCAAGCUGGACCCAUCCUCCCUGCUCACAGAGGGCACUGUGGUCACACACAGUGCCUCCUCUGCCAGUUUCUUUAUUGAAAGAGGUGUGCUGGCUAGCCACGGUGGCUCACACCUGUAAUCCCAGCACUUUGGGAGGCCGAGGCGGGCAGAUCACAAGGUCAGGAGAUCGAGACCAUCCUGGCUAACAUGGUGAAACCCCGUCUCUACUAAAGAUACAAAAAAUUAGCCGGGUGUGGUGGUGGGCGCCUGUAGUCCCAGCUACUCGGGAGGCUGAGGCAGGAGAAUGGUGUGAACCCGGGAGGCGGAGCUUGCAGUGAGCCAAGAUCACGCCACUGCACUCUAGCCUGGGUGACAGCGCGAGAUGCCGUCUUAAAAAAAAAAAAAGAGGUGUGCUGCUUGUCAGCAUAUAUUGUCACGGACACUCAAUAAGUGCCAUUUUGGACUGUCAAGUUUAGAUACUUUGUUUCAGAAAGAUAAGCCAGCAUUUAGUUUUAAAUCACUUUCCUGGUUUGUAACUUGAGGCUGUUUAGUUAAAUUGCUAGUUUUCCUAACACUACAAUAUUAAUUCUUCUCGUGGAAGUGUACUGAUUUAUUAUUUUUAUUCCAAGUCAGCAGAUUUGGAAGCAUUGUGGUAAAGUCUAAGGUUUUCAUAUCCAUAGUGCUGUUUGGUGAGUACCGGCAGUACGGUUGAGGGGAGCAGGGAACAGCAUUGCCCCAUAUUGAAGGUGAGAUGGUUACAUUCUUCACUGCCUUUCACAUUUUGAGUUGUGUGCCUAUAAAAUUUGGCCAAACCAUUUUAUUAUUUUGUUCAAACUUGACUAAGCUGAGUGAUCUAAAAUUAUACAGAACCUAAAUCAAAGAAGAGAAUGUAAAGUCCUUUAGUUACUUCUAAGAAUUUGAAGUCAAGCACGAAUCUAAGAUACAGAUUAUUUUUAUAUAGCUAAUUAAGAGUAUGUUAUGAAAUUGUUGGGUUUUUGGGGUAUUGAGGGUGGAAAAUUUUGUGAAUCAUGCAUGCUUCACAGAAACAACCAGGUUUUUCCAGAAUUAGUCUGGAUCAGUGCCUAACAAAGCUGUUAUUAAUUCUCCACACAUGAGCCUGGCUAACUGGGCCAGCUCUCGUGUUUUACUCCUGUCUGGCUACACAUAGCACUGUGCAUAGUAGCCCUGUUUCCCCACGGUGUUGGACUGUGGUAAAGUAUGUUGUGACAUACUGGAAUUCUAAUAAUCCUGUUGUAAUUAUGUACAGAAUCUAUGUAACUUAUUGUUGACAUACAGAGGUUUGGGAAGUAGUCUAACGGACAUUCCUUACAAUAGAAUGGCUGGGAAGGGAAAGAAAAAAAAAACUACCUAACUCCAAUCUUAAUGUUGUAGUUUUAUAGCAAACAAAAAUUGUCAACUUUUUGUAUUGAAAGGUCAGUGGUGGUAAGACAAGGUGUCUUGUAAAUUAAGAUUUUAAGAAGUGCAUUAAAAUGUUUUAGAAUUACUCUGGGAAUUCUGUAUAUCACACUAAAAUUUUUAUAUCAUUAUGUUAAUAAAAGUUAUUGACUUUGUAA